Caenorhabditis elegans is the source of this 153-nucleotide non-coding RNA. Lineage: Eukaryota; Metazoa; Nematoda; Chromadorea; Rhabditida; Rhabditidae. The record is from Ensembl.
UGUUAUUUCGGCGGCAAGUCGGUACCAUUGACACACAUAGAGAAACUGACGUCCGUCUUAUUACUACCGCCUCCCCAUGCAAUAAUCAUAUUUUGCCGACAACUUUAUGACCAUCACAGCGAUACAUACGUUUUGAUGAAUAGUCCAGAUAGG